UUCAGGCAGCUCCAGUAGAUGGUCCUCAACAGAGCGAGCAGACAGAACACGAUGGACAGAACCCACGCCGCGUAGAUGCCUUUGGAGACCCGGGCCUGCUUCCACGUUCCAACCUGCCGCCAAGAAACAACAUUUCUUCACGAGGACAGCACGCCGUUGAAACCCCAAGACCCUCCCUAUGGGGUCUUUUGUGUGUUAAAUAGGCAGGAUGUGCCGCUUAUGCCUCUGCAAA
Oryzias melastigma (Indian medaka) is the source of this 232-nucleotide long non-coding RNA. RefSeq lists it as uncharacterized. The record is from RefSeq and is a predicted model, not a curated record. Lineage: Eukaryota; Metazoa; Chordata; Actinopteri; Beloniformes; Adrianichthyidae. The transcript is spliced from 3 exons.